Molecule: non-coding RNA, 170 nt
Organism: Oryza barthii
Lineage: Eukaryota; Viridiplantae; Streptophyta; Magnoliopsida; Poales; Poaceae
Source: Rfam
CCUCUUUCCGUGUCCAAUGUUUAACCAUCUGUUUUAUUUAAAAAAAAUUAAAAAAAAAAGUCACACAUCAUGUUUUAUCAUCUAACAACAAUGAAAAUAUGAAUUAUAAAAAAAUUUCAUAUAAGACGGACAGUCAAAGUUGGACACGAAAACCCAUGGUUUGUCUUUUU